Molecule: non-coding RNA, 84 nt
Organism: Lentinula aff. lateritia
Lineage: Eukaryota; Fungi; Basidiomycota; Agaricomycetes; Agaricales; Omphalotaceae
Source: the annotation of a GenBank genome assembly
UCCGAUAUGGUGUAGUGGCUAACAUUAUCGCCUCUCAUAAAGUGUGCUUCGCGAUAGCCCGGGGUUCGAUUCCCCGUGUCGGAA